This is a long non-coding RNA of Bombus pascuorum, 972 nucleotides long. RefSeq lists it as uncharacterized. The transcript is spliced from 3 exons. Lineage: Eukaryota; Metazoa; Arthropoda; Insecta; Hymenoptera; Apidae. The record is from RefSeq and is a predicted model, not a curated record.
AGAUAGCAGAAGCAGAAAGGAAUAUCUUAUCAUGGACUAUUUAAUGUCAGUGAUUACGAAGCAAUGAUGCUAGGAAGUUUAGGAAGAUUCGUUAUUUAAUUCAGUUUACGCGGAAAAGAUAUGUUACCUUUUGAAGUAUUUUAUUCUAUACGUGGUAUAUGAAUUAUAAUUUAAUUUAAAUUUGAUAAAUUUAAAGGUGAUAUAAAGGAAUGCAACAGGUGCUGACGUGGAUGUGGAGAUUUCGUCAUUUUUCUUCGUAGAUAAUAAUUACCUGUGCAAUAAUGGAAGCUACUUUUUCUUUAUCUAUUGCUGUGUGGAUUCGUUUAUUUUUCAAGUGAUGUGGAGUAUCUCUACGAUGGAGUCUAUUUGGUCUAUUUGAAUCACCACUACCAUCAUAAUCAGUACUUUCUAUGAUAGAAAAUUCGACAUGUCUUUGUGUUUCUUCAGUUUCAGAUUCUUCCUCGUCUUUGUCAUUUAUAUCUUUUGAUUCAGAUAUUGAACCUUCAGUCCUCACAUCCUAAAAAAAAUAAUUUUUGCAAUUUACAAAUCAGUAACAAACAAGUAAAUAAAUAAAUAAAUAAAUAAAUAUAAAUAAAUAAAUAAAUAAAUAUAAAUAAAUAAAUAAAUAAGUAAAUAAAUAAACUAGCAUUAACACAAAUAUUUACAGUAUUAGAUUCUGUGAUAUAUUGAUUAGAAACUAUCUCUGGUUCAUUGCUGGACUGAAAAUCUGCAUUAUCAGCUGCUAUUCCAGGUAUGGUUUCUUUUUGUGCAUUUUCUAUAGAUUCAGGUUGUAACGAUUCUUGCUCUAUAGUCUCUGUAGUCAAAUCGUUGGACUUUGUCGAAAUAUCAGUCUCAGUUUUAUCCAAACCAAAUGUUUGAGAAACAUCCUGAAAGAUAUUAUUAACAACUGUUACAAAAAGGUUGUAUAUGAUAUCUCGAAAAAUGAAAUUAAUAAUUACCUGCUCAUCUGUA